CCAUUUUUCCCUGCAAAAGAUGAUAUCAACAGAUCACAAGUGAAAAAAAAUAGAAGCAAUGGCGGAAAAAGCAGCACCUCAGGAACAGAGAAUGUCGUACUAUGAUCAUGUCCAAAAGCGCAGGAAAGAUAAAGGCCCUCUCUAUGCUAUUUUGUUUACCUUGUGUUGCUGUUGUUGCUGCUAUGAAACUUGUGAGUGUUGUGUGGAUGGCAUUUGUUGCUGCUGCUCUUAAUGCAGAGCUAUGUGGCCCUCCCUAAUGCAGCUCAGUUCAAAUCAAACAAGUUCUUAGUUUGAAUUAGUCAUCUAUAUUUCGUAAAUUGUGUAAUUUGUUUUUUAAAUGCAUCAACUUGUAGGAUAGGAGAUCGAACCUGUGUAAAGCUCACUUUGACGUAAAUUGUAUUUGUCUCUGUUCCAUUUAAAGUUUGUGAUGAUGAUCAUUUUUAUUAUCUCAUAAAAGUAUUCCAAACGAUUGAAAUAUAUAAUAUCUUCUCUUCAACCUGACA
Benincasa hispida (wax gourd) is the source of this 503-nucleotide long non-coding RNA. RefSeq lists it as uncharacterized. NCBI's taxonomy places the organism in Eukaryota, Viridiplantae, Streptophyta, Magnoliopsida, Cucurbitales, Cucurbitaceae. The record is from RefSeq and is a predicted model, not a curated record.